GGGGGCGUACUGGUUUCGACAGGGGUAGUUAUGGUAUGGGUAGCGAGCCGGGGUCCCAUCAGCCCGUAAUACGGUGGAACUAAAGUAAACGCAAACGAAGAUUACGCUUUAGCAGCUUAAUGCUAACGUCUUACCUACGCACUCCCGCGGCCUAGGAUAAGGCGUCACUUAGCGGGAUACCUGGGGCCCAAUUCUCGGAGGGCCGACUGGGAACCUUUAUCGAGAUAGUACCCGGGCAGCCUGUCUGUGGGCGGCAAGGGCGCGAAACUCAAAUCACCGACUGCGCUCGGAGAAACCCAUGCAGUAAUACCUUUGGACAGGAGUUCGAUUCUCCUCGCCUCCACCA
This 346-nucleotide transfer-messenger RNA is filed under the name Methylomusa anaerophila. Its description in RNAcentral is "Standard tmRNA". It matches the Rfam family "transfer-messenger RNA". From Rfam's summary of the family: Bacterial tmRNA, also known as 10Sa RNA or SsrA, is named for its dual tRNA and mRNA-like properties. Lineage: Bacteria; Bacillati; Bacillota; Negativicutes; Selenomonadales; Sporomusaceae. The record is from Rfam by way of RNAcentral.